AAGUCGUAACAAGGUCCGUAGGUGAACCUGCGGAAGGAUCAUUA
Molecule: ribosomal RNA, 44 nt
Filed under: Bagliettoa parmigera
Lineage: Eukaryota; Fungi; Ascomycota; Eurotiomycetes; Verrucariales; Verrucariaceae
Also listed under: 6 other names
Description: partial small subunit ribosomal RNA
Source: RNAcentral